RNAcentral lists this ribosomal RNA (426 nucleotides) under uncultured bacterium. Its description in RNAcentral is "bacterial SSU rRNA". It matches the Rfam family "Bacterial small subunit ribosomal RNA", at positions 917 to 1341 of the family's 1533-position model. The record is from RNAcentral.
GGACCCGCACAAGUAGUGGAGCAUGUGGUUUAAUUCGAAGAUACGCGCAGAACCUUACCAACACUUGACAUGUUCGUCGCGACUCUAAGAGAUUAGAGUUUUCGGUUCGGCCGGACGAAACACAGGUGCUGCAUGGCUGUCGUCAGCUCGUGUCGUGAGAUGUUGGGUUAAGUCCCGCAAUGAGCGCAACCCUCACUUUUAGUUGCCAUCAUUUAGUUGGGCACUCUGAAAGAACUGCCAGUGAUAAGCUGGAGGAAGGUGGGGAUGACGUCAAGUCCUCAUGGCCCUUACGUGUUGGGCUACACACGUGCUACAAUGGUAUCUACAAAAGGAAGCAAGACUGUAAGGUCAAGCAAAUCCUAAAAAGAUACCUCAGUUCGGAUUGCACUCUGCAACUCGAGUGCAUGAAGCUGGAAUUACUAGUAA